This 348-nucleotide unclassified non-coding RNA is filed under the name soil metagenome. RNAcentral's name for it is "partial contains 5.8S ribosomal RNA, internal transcribed spacer 2, and large subunit ribosomal RNA". The stretch from base 1 to 120 matches the Rfam family "5.8S ribosomal RNA", at positions 35 to 154 of the family's 154-position model. The record is from RNAcentral.
GAUGAAGAACGUAGCGAAAUGCGAUACGUAAUGUGAAUUGCAGAAUUCAGUGAACCAUCGAAUCUUUGAACGCACAUUGCGCCCGCUGGAACUCCGGCGGGCACGCCUGUCCGAGCGUCAUUUCAACCCUCAGGCCCCCCUUCGCGGGCGGGCCUGGUGUUGGGGCCCGGCCGCUACCCUGCGGCCGUCCCCUAAAUUCAGUGGCGGCCUCGCCGUGAUCCCUUGCGUAGUAAUGCACCUCGCACCGGAGAGCGCCGUGGCCACGCCGUAAAACCCCCAAUUUUCAAUGGUUGACCUCGGAUCAGGUGAGAAUACCCGCUGAACUUAAGCAUAUCAAUAAGCGGAGGA